AAAAGCAACAAGGAAAUGGGGUGUUACCGAUAUAAGGGUAACAAACUCAGGAAGAAUGAAUAUCUAAGACCGGUAUAAGGGUGAGAGAUAUCAAUCAACCAACAUCUGAGAAAGACCUGAAAAGGUACAUCAACUCAGGAAAAUCUGACUCCACAGGGGACCAAGGUCAUAAUAGGGAGCAGACAGGAGGGAACACCAGGGAUACCGAAG
Molecule: long non-coding RNA, 210 nt
Filed under: Lathyrus oleraceus (garden pea)
Lineage: Eukaryota; Viridiplantae; Streptophyta; Magnoliopsida; Fabales; Fabaceae
Description: Pisum sativum (pea) long non-coding RNA (PSAT_LNC021215)
Source: RNAcentral